UCCGGGGUAGCUCAAUGGCAGAGCAUUCGACUGUUAAUCGAAGGGUUGUCGGUUCGAGUCCGACCCCCGGAG
Molecule: transfer RNA, 72 nt
Filed under: Thermoleophilaceae bacterium
Lineage: Bacteria; Bacillati; Actinomycetota; Thermoleophilia; Thermoleophilales; Thermoleophilaceae
Description: tRNA-Asn
Rfam family: tRNA
About the family: Transfer RNA (tRNA) molecules are approximately 80 nucleotides in length.
Source: RNAcentral